AUUGAACGCUGGCGGCAGGCCUAACACAUGCAAGUCGAGCGGGGUUUUCGGACCUAGCGGCGGACGGGUGAGUAAUGCGUGGGAAGCUACCCGAUAGAGGGGGAUACCAGUUGGAACGACUGUUAAUACCGCAUAAUGUCUACGGACCAAAGUGUGGGACCUUCGGGCCACAUGCUAUCGGAUGCGCCUACGUGGGAUUAGCUAGUUGGUGGGGUAAUGGCUCACCAAGGCGACGAUCCCUAGCUGGUUUGAGAGGAUGAUCAGCCACACUGGAACUGAGACACGGUCCAGACUCCUACGGGAGGCAGCAGUGGGGAAUAUUGGACAAUGGGCGCAAGCCUGAUCCAGCCAUGCCGCGUGUGUGAAGAAGGCCUUCGGUUGGUUAAGACACUUUACUAGCGAGGAGGAAGGG
Molecule: ribosomal RNA, 412 nt
Filed under: uncultured bacterium
Lineage: Bacteria
Description: bacterial SSU rRNA
Rfam family: Bacterial small subunit ribosomal RNA
Source: RNAcentral